UACGUAGGGGGCUAGCGUUGUCCGGAAUCAUUGGGCGUAAAGAGCGUGUAGGCGGUCCGGUAAGUCCGUUGUGAAAGUCAGGGGCUCAACCCUUGAAUGCCGGCGGAUACUGUCGGGCUAGAGUCCGGAAGAGGCGAGUGGAAUUCCCGGUGUAGCGGUGAAAUGCGCAGAUAUCGGGAGGAACACCGGUGGCGAAGGCGGCCAUCUGGACGGAUACUGACGCUGAGACGCGAAAGCGUGGGUAGCAAACAGG
RNAcentral lists this ribosomal RNA (253 nucleotides) under uncultured bacterium. RNAcentral describes it as "partial 16S ribosomal RNA". It matches the Rfam family "Bacterial small subunit ribosomal RNA", at positions 524 to 776 of the family's 1533-position model. The record is from RNAcentral.